UACGGAGGAUGCAAGCGUUAUCCGGAAUGAUUGGGCGUAAAGCGUCCGCAGGUGGCUAUGUAAGUCUGCUGUUAAAGAGUGAGGCUCAACCUCAUAAAAGCAGUGGAAACUACAUGGCUAGAGUGCGUUCGGGGCAGAGGGAAUUCCUGGUGUAGCGGUGAAAUGCGUAGAGAUUGGGAAGAACAUCGGUGGCGAAAGCGCUCUACUGGACCUCAUCUGACACUCAGGGACGAAAGCUAGGGGAGCGAAUGGG
This 253-nucleotide ribosomal RNA is filed under the name uncultured bacterium. Its description in RNAcentral is "partial 16S ribosomal RNA". It matches the Rfam family "Bacterial small subunit ribosomal RNA", at positions 524 to 776 of the family's 1533-position model. The record is from RNAcentral.